RNAcentral lists this ribosomal RNA (307 nucleotides) under uncultured bacterium. RNAcentral describes it as "partial 16S ribosomal RNA". It matches the Rfam family "Bacterial small subunit ribosomal RNA", at positions 506 to 807 of the family's 1533-position model. The record is from RNAcentral.
AGACAGCAGCAGCCGCGGGAAUACAGAGGGUGCAAGCGUUAAUCGGAUUUACUGGGCGUAAAGCGUGCGUAGGCGGCUUUUUAAGUCGGAUGUGAAAUCCCUGAGCUUAACUUAGGAAUUGCAUUCGAUACUGGGAAGCUAGAGUAUGGGAGAGGAUGGUAGAAUUCCAGGUGUAGCGGUGAAAUGCGUAGAGAUCUGGAGGAAUACCGAUGGCGAAGGCAGCCAUCUGGCCUAAUACUGACGCUGAGGUACGAAAGCAUGGGGAGCAAACAGGAUUAGAUACCCCCGUAGUCCCUGUCUCUUAUAC